GGACAUGAGAGCAAUCUGGCUGUGACAUCUGUCACCCCAUGACUACCAGGGUUGAUUCAGCUCAUCUGGCUGACUAGGCGGGUGGCCCCUUCCUCCCUCACCACUCCAUGUGUGUCCCUCCCGAAGCUGCAAGCUCCAUCGAAGAGGAUGACCAUCACCACUAGAGGAGGACCGUUCUUCGGUCAAGGGUAUACAAGUUGCUAUGCUCCCCUAUCAGAACCUCCUAACAAGCUCUCAAGAAGCAAAACUGGCUGGGCGUGGUGGCUUAUGCCAGUCGUCCCAGCACUUUGGGGGACUGAGGUG
RNAcentral lists this small nuclear RNA (303 nucleotides) under Carlito syrichta (Philippine tarsier). RNAcentral's name for it is "7SK RNA (ENSTSYG00000027646.1)". It matches the Rfam family "7SK RNA". From Rfam's summary of the family: 7SK was discovered as an abundant small nuclear RNA in the mid-70s but a possible function has only recently been suggested. Lineage: Eukaryota; Metazoa; Chordata; Mammalia; Primates; Tarsiidae. The record is from RNAcentral.